This 253-nucleotide ribosomal RNA is filed under the name uncultured bacterium. Its description in RNAcentral is "partial 16S ribosomal RNA". It matches the Rfam family "Bacterial small subunit ribosomal RNA", at positions 524 to 776 of the family's 1533-position model. The record is from RNAcentral.
GACGAACCGUCCAAACGUUAUUCGGAAUCACUGGGCUUAAAGGGUGCGUAGGCGGCUCAGAAAGUAGGGUGUGAAAGCCCUCGGCUCAACCGAGGAAUUGCGCCCUAAACUACUGAGCUUGAGGGAGACAGAGGUAAGCGGAACUUAGGGUGGAGCGGUGAAAUGCGUUGAUAUCCUAAGGAACACCAGGAGCGAAAGCGGCUUACUGGGUCUCUUCUGACGCUGAGGCACGAAAGCUAGGGGAGCGAACGGG